Molecule: ribosomal RNA, 1794 nt
Filed under: Durio zibethinus
Lineage: Eukaryota; Viridiplantae; Streptophyta; Magnoliopsida; Malvales; Malvaceae
Description: SSU rRNA
Rfam family: Eukaryotic small subunit ribosomal RNA
Source: RNAcentral
CUUGGUUGAUCCUGCUAGUAAUCAUAUGCUUAUCUCAAAGAUUAAGCCUUGUAUGUGUAAGUAUGAACCAAUUUAGACUAUGAAACUGCAAAUGGCUCAUUCAAUCAAUUAUAGUUUGGUUGAUAGUAUCUACUACUCAGAUAACCAUAGUAAUUCUAGAGCUAAUACAUGCAACAAACCCUAACUUUUGGAAGGGAUGCAUUUAUUAGAUAAAAGGUUAGUGCAGGCUUUGCCUGUUGCUCUAAUGAUUCAUGAUAACUUGAAGGAUCAGACAACCUUUGUGCCACUGACACAUCAUUCAAAUUUUUAUCCUAUCAACUUUUAAUGGUAGGAUAGUGGCCUACUAUUGUGGUGACAGGUAAUGGAGAAUUAGGUUCGAUUCCAGAUAAAGUGCCUAAGAAACAACUACCACAUCCAAGGAAAGCAGCAGGCACACAAAUUAGCCAAUCCUAACAUAAGGAGGUAGUCAUAAGAAACAACAAUACCGAGCUCUAUAGUUCUAGUAAUUGGAAUGAGUACAAUCCAAAUCCUAUACUGAGGAUCCAUUUGAAGGCAAGUCUAGUGCCAGCAGCCAUAGUAAUUCUAGCUCUAAUAUCAUAUAUUUAAGUUGUUGUAGUUAUAAAACUUAUAGUUGGAACUAGGUUUGGGUCAUCUGAUUUACCUUAUGAUGAGCACCAAUCUACUCAUCUUUACUGUCAGCAAUACACUAUUGGCCUUACUGACCAGGUCAUUCCUCCAACACUGUUACUUUGAAAAAAUUAAAGUGCUCAAAGUAGGCCUACACUUGUAUACAUUAGCAUGGGAUAACAUCACAGGAAUUUGGUCCUGUUACAUUGGCCUUUAGAAACUGAGUAACGAUUAAUAGGGAUAAUUAAGGGCAUUUGUAUUUCAUAGCCAAAGGUGAAAUUCUUGGAUUUAUGAAAGACAAACAACUAUGAAAGCUUUUGCCAUUGAUGUUUUCAUUAAUCAAGAACAAAAGUUGGGGGCUCAAAGACAAUUAGAUACCGUCCUAGUCUUAACCAUAAAUGAUGCCAACUAGGGAUCAAUGGAUGUUACUUUUAGGACUCUGUUGGCACUUUAUGAGAAAUCAAAGUCUUUGGGUUCUAGGGGGAGUAUGGACACAAGGUUAAAACUUAAAAGAAUUGAUGGAACGGCACCACUAAGAGUGGUGCCUGUAGCUUAAUUUGACUCAACCUAGGAAAACUUACCAGGUCUAGACAUAGUAAGGAUUGACAAACUGAAAGCUAUUUCUUAAUUCUAUGGGUGGUGGUGCAUGGCUAUUCAUAGUUGGAGGAGUAAUUUGUCUAAUUACUUUCAUUAAUGAAUGAGACCUCAGCUCGUUAACUAGCUAAGCAGAGGUGAUCCCUUGUGGCUAGCUUCUUAGAAGGACUAUGGCUACUUAAGCCAAGGAAGUUUAAGGCAAUAAUAGGUCUUGUGAUGCCCUUAAAUGUUUUAGGCCACACCUCACUACAUCAAUGCAUUGAACGAGUCUAUAGCAUUGGCUAAUAGGCCUAAGUAAUCUUUGAAAUUUCAUCAUGAUGGGGAUAAAUCAUUGCAAUUGUUGGUCUUCAAUGAGGAAUUCCUAGUACUACCCAUUGCUCUUUCAAUUGAAUGGUCUAAUAUCUAAUCCUUCAUGGCUAACUUCUUAGAGGGACUAUGGCCACUUACGCUAAGGAAGUUUGAGGCACUAGUAGGUCUGUGAUGCCCUUAGAUGUUCUAGGCCACAUGCACACUACACUGAUGUAUUCAACAAGUCUAUAGCCUAAGUAGAUAGGCCUAGGAAAUCUUUGAAAU